CAGCAGCCGGAAAUGAUAGAAAAAAAAUAUUACUGAUACUGAACAAGCAAACGCAAACUGUAACGGAAACGAGACAGGAAUGUCACGGGAUUGUGCUCCCGCUGCAAGGGCGCCAACCCACGUACAUCAUCGUCAUCAUCUGCAGGGAAGGUAAACACAGCACGGGGCGCCGCUCUGCAACACGGAAGCUGAGGAUCACCAGCGGCUGUCAGGCGGCAGGGAGAGUAGUGCAGUAUGCUUAGUGUAGAGGAGAGUAGUGCCAGAGGAAGAAGUGAGUAUGUGUUCACGGGUUUAUCUUUCUCAGUUGGUAAAUGUGCCAGAACGAACUGUUGUAGGAAUCUCCUUGAUGCUCCUGUUCCUCUACCAUAUUGUAUAGGAAACCAAGCCAUUCAAGAUGUACGAGAUAACUAUAAAUAUCUUGGGGUCAGGGUGUAUUCCUCCCUAAGGUUUCACUUGCAUGUGAGAGAAAUCACUGGCAAGGCUGGAGGCAUUGGUUACUGUAUUUUAAAGGGUACCCUUUGCUGAUUUCAUGAAGGCAGUUUUCAUCUCUCAUAUUCACCCUAUCUUGGACUUUGCCUCUGUGGUUUGGUUCACUGUUUAUACAGGUGACAUGACCCAGGCUUUUAGAAAAUGUUCAGAGGAGAUGGACCAAGAAAAUUGCCGGUUUCCACGAUCUACCAUAUAGUGAACGUCUCGCUAGAUUGAGUCUUGACUCCAUUAAAGGAAGGUUGAUCAGAGCUGAUCCUAUUAUGGUGUUCAACAUUCUGAAAGGGUUUUGUCCUAAUCUAGGUCACCUCUUUGCUAAAAAUCACAACAGACAAGCUUUUUGUGCCUCGUUACAACACUGAUGUUCGAGCUCAUGUCUUCUCAGUGCGGGUCAUUAGCAUUUGGAAUAAUUUACCAUAAUCAGUUGUCUUGGUGAAUUCUAUUAAUGCUUUUAAACAGCAUCUCGACACUUCUUUUGGUCAAAUUUUGUGUGAUUUUCAUUGACUUUGGGUUGUUGAGUAUGACUUUGAAUUGUAAAAUUGUGUCCUGUGCUGUGCUGUGUCUCCACUCGGGAUUGCCAACCUGACUGCAUUGUCUUGCCACUUGCUCAAGAGUGUUAUGGCAGUGGUUUGUGUGGUCUUGGUGAUGCCACAUUAGCCAACCAUCAGAUCAUCUAAAGGACAAUCUACUUGCUGUCUUGGUUGUAGGCGUCACCUGAUUCUAGAUGGGGUUCUCCCCAUCUAGGUAAGAAAUGUAGGUCUCAAAUAAAGGAACAAGACUUCAGACAAAAGCCAGAUUGGUGAGGAUCAUUGUGCUGGAACAUCAUCAUCAUUUCAUAGACGCCUGCUCCUAGGAGCUGCCACCAGGGGACGGCCACGGCAGAAGAGUUUCCAACUGUAACGCAUCACAGCAAUGCUAGGGAUGCUAACACAGGCCUCCCCACAGAGUAGCAGAGGGCAGAGGGCGGCGUGCGGCCCUGCAUUGCAUCAAAUCAGCUGCCCCAUCACGGCCAUGCCCACGCCCGUCAUUCUGGGCCAAGGAGAACCUCGGGUGGCAGGCAGCACAGCGGGGGAGGCGGCGGUGCCAGGCCAGGAGGAAUUUGGCGAUGACAUUUACUGUCUGGCGAGGGAGCAGCCGUGGGUGGUGGCAGCAACUCAUCGAGCGGCGUGGAGGAGGGAGCCGCCAGGGUGGACCACGCCUACAGCCUGCACGUCACCGCCCGCCAUGCACUAAGGGCUGUGGGCGUGCAUGACCGCCAACCAAAGACUCAGCCCAGAGGAAGAGCCAGGCCAGCACCACCACAGGGACAGAGGACGAUGAGAGAGUGUUCCAACGCUGCUCCAACUCAAGGUUCAUAGGCCACACGCUGAGCCCUGCCAAGAUGUCCUGCCAGGUGGUCGGCCUCCACCCCUACACCUCCCACUGGUUCCUCCUGCUGCCCCACUACAAGGAUGUGCCAAGUAUGCCCUCCAGCCUGCAGUCCUUGGAUGGUGAGUGCAGUAACGUGCCCCCAUGCCUCACCCACCCUUGCCUUCAUGUCACCUGGCAAUGCAACUCUGCCUCAGACUCCAGUAAUUUAUGUUCACCCACCCUGCUGCCAGCA
Eriocheir sinensis (Chinese mitten crab) is the source of this 2089-nucleotide long non-coding RNA. RefSeq lists it as uncharacterized. Lineage: Eukaryota; Metazoa; Arthropoda; Malacostraca; Decapoda; Varunidae. The transcript is spliced from 4 exons. The record is from RefSeq and is a predicted model, not a curated record.